CAAGUCGAGCGGUAAGGCCCUUCGGGGUACACGAGCGGCGAACGGGUGAGUAACACGUGGGUGAUCUGCCUCGCACUCUGGGAUAAGCUUGGGAAACUGGGUCUAAUACCGGAUAUGACCAUGGGAUGCAUGUUCUGUGGUGGAAAGAUUUAUUGGUGCGAGAUGAGCCCGCGGCCUAUCAGCUUGUUGGUGAGGUAACGGCCCACCAAGGCGACGACGGGUAGCCGGCCUGAGAGGGCGAUCGGCCACACUGGGACUGAGACACGGCCCAGACUCCUACGGGAGGCAGCAGUGGGGAAUAUUGCACAAUGGGCGAAAGCCUGAUGCAGCGACGCCGCGUGAGGGAUGACGGCCUUCGGGUUGUAAACCUCUUUCGACAGGGACGAAGCGCAAGUGACGGUACCUGUAGAAGAAGCACCGGCCAACUACGUGCCAGCAGCCGCGGUAAUACGUAGGGUGCGAGCGUUGUCCGGAAUUACUGGGCGUAAAGAGCUUGUAGGCGGUCUGUCGCGUCGUCUGUGAAAACUUGGGGCUCAACUCCAAGCUUGCAGGCGAUACGGGCAGACUUGAGUACUUCAGGGGAGACUGGAAUUCCUGGUGUAGCGGUGAAAUGCGCAGAUAUCAGG
Molecule: ribosomal RNA, 626 nt
Filed under: Nocardia sp. YIM 100342
Lineage: Bacteria; Bacillati; Actinomycetota; Actinomycetes; Mycobacteriales; Nocardiaceae
Description: bacterial SSU rRNA
Rfam family: Bacterial small subunit ribosomal RNA
Source: RNAcentral